AACGAACGCUGGCGGCAGGCCUAAUACAUGCAAGUCGAACGGCAGCACAGCAGAGCUUGCUCUGUGGGUGGCGAGUGGCGGACGGGUGAGGAAUACAUGGGAAUCUGCCCAGUCGUGGGGGAUAACGUAUGGAAACGUACGCUAAUACCGCAUGCGCCCUACGGGGGAAAGUCGGGGACCGCAAGGCCUGGCGCGAUUGGAUGAGCCCAUGUUCGAUUAGCUAGUUGGCGGGGUAAAGGCCCACCAAGGCGACGAUCGAUAGCUGGUCUGAGAGGAUGAUCAGCCACACUGGAACUGAGACACGGUCCAGACUCCUACGGGAGGCAGCAGUAGGGAAUAUUGGACAAUGGGCGCAAGCCUGAUCCAGCCAUGCCGCGUGAGUGAAGAAGGCCCUCGGGUUGUAAAGCUCUUUUGUCCGGAAAGAAAGCACUGGGUUAAUACCCCGGUGUCCUGACGGUACCGGAAGAAUAAGCACCGGCUAACUUCGUGCC
This 491-nucleotide ribosomal RNA is filed under the name uncultured bacterium. Its description in RNAcentral is "bacterial SSU rRNA". It matches the Rfam family "Bacterial small subunit ribosomal RNA", at positions 29 to 509 of the family's 1533-position model. The record is from RNAcentral.